AAACAUGAGCGGAUACUGGGUCAGCAAAUAGCAUUCCCUACUUUAGGACACAUCCAGGACUGGAGACAUGUUAGCGAAGUGUGGCAGAAGGACAGAGGAACAGAGGAGGUUAGGGAGCCAGGGAGAGGACAUAAAUGGAGACUAGAGGGCUCAGUGGGCGACCUGGAUAACCUGAAAGAAAGUAGAUCAUUAGGGGCAAGAGUUCGGUGAAAUCCAGCAUAGGUCUAGAGAGAUAAUGACAAAAAAAAAAAAAAAAAAAAAAAAAAAANNNNNNNNNNNNNNNNNNNNNNNNNNNNAAAAAAAAACCAAAACCCAAAAACCUAGCACUUACUAUGUCAGAGAUCUCAGUCCCAGUGAUUAAAACUUUAAAAAUCCAGGGUGUGGUUGAGUAGGGCACAAGUCACUGGAGCUGGGGGGAUUGGGGAGGGGGCACCGAGCCCAAUGUGUCAGACAGUGAAGGGGCAGAGGGUGAUGCUUUCCUGAUUGCUGCCAAGGACAAGGCAGGACAGGUAUGGGUGGCCUUAGGGUGCCAGCUGGGUCCGGCUCUGAGUCCCAGGUCCUUCCCAGGGGGGUUUCAGCAGCUCUGGUCCCUCCAAGGAUGGACUCAGAGUGGGACGGGGCAGGGCAGGCAGGGAGGGCACAGGCCUCCGUGGAUGGCACACUGACAGGCUGUCCGUCCCCCUGCAGGUCUGCAGACUAAAGCCAGAACCCCCGCCAGAGGAUCCUUCCAGAAUCUGGAGGAGAAAUACGAGAACAUUGGGAACAAAGGUAAGUCCCGCCACCAUGGUUCCUGCUCUCCACCUGGGCCUUCCUUCCUCCCCACACCCCCUCCCCACACACCUGCCCUCAGCAUCCUCCUCUCUCCCCUGCCUCACCCACCUUCCCCCAGACGACCUCACCCCUGGAACCCCCUGCCCAUUUCUCUACCCUGCCUGCCAGCCCACCUGACCUGGAGCUUCUUGACUGGUUUUAGAGCAACAGACAGACCCCAAGGAGUGUCAUAAGAGAAGCAGCUCAGACCUGGCCUGAAAUAUUACGGGGAAGUCUGGAGAAGGUGGGGUGGAAGGAACAGAGGGACUGUGGUGUGGGCAGGGCACUCAGCAUGGGAUCCCUGCUCUGAGAGUGGACAGCCCCCACCCCCUGUCUAACCCCCUUCCCUCUCCAUUCUCACCCAGAAUGAUGGCAUCCUCUAUGCCCCCCUCACCCUUCACAACGUG
This 1217-nucleotide long non-coding RNA is filed under the name Sus scrofa (pig). Its description in RNAcentral is "lncRNA (ENSSSCG00040020678.1)". Lineage: Eukaryota; Metazoa; Chordata; Mammalia; Artiodactyla; Suidae. The record is from RNAcentral.